CAGGUAGGGAUACCCGCUGA
RNAcentral lists this ribosomal RNA (20 nucleotides) under Teratosphaeria nubilosa. RNAcentral describes it as "partial 28S ribosomal RNA". Lineage: Eukaryota; Fungi; Ascomycota; Dothideomycetes; Mycosphaerellales; Teratosphaeriaceae. The record is from RNAcentral.